Vicia faba (fava bean) is the source of this 273-nucleotide non-coding RNA. The record is from the annotation of a GenBank genome assembly. NCBI's taxonomy places the organism in Eukaryota, Viridiplantae, Streptophyta, Magnoliopsida, Fabales, Fabaceae.
AUGAUAACCCUUCUUCUUCAACCAAAAAUGCAACAGUGUGAUCAACAAAACUCCUCUGCCGCUGGAUCAACUCCUCUGAUCAUCUCCGUCCUUACUCCGCUCAUCGUCUUCCCUCUUGAUUCUUCUUUUUUUGCAUCUUCGUAUGCGAUUCGGUUUUGCCUCCCUCAACUACACACAUCGCUAGCCACAAAUGUGACUUCUGAUCAUCACCUUUCAUACUCUUCUCAUCGUCUUCCCUUCCGACGACAUCCGUUUGUUUCAAAGACACCGUGA